UCCUUGGUAGCUCAGUUGGAAGAGCAACCGGCUGUUAACCGGUGGGUCGCAGGUUCGAGUCCUGUCCUUGGAG
Non-coding RNA from Lachnoclostridium sp. YL32, 73 nucleotides. The record is from Rfam. NCBI's taxonomy places the organism in Bacteria, Bacillati, Bacillota, Clostridia, Lachnospirales, Lachnospiraceae.